Molecule: ribosomal RNA, 561 nt
Filed under: Chaetomium umbonatum
Lineage: Eukaryota; Fungi; Ascomycota; Sordariomycetes; Sordariales; Chaetomiaceae
Description: eukaryotic LSU rRNA
Rfam family: Eukaryotic large subunit ribosomal RNA
Source: RNAcentral
GCAUAUCAAUAAGCGGAGGAAAAGAAACCAACAGGGAUUGCCCUAGUAACGGCGAGUGAAGCGGCAACAGCUCAAAUUUGAAAUCUGGCUUCGGCCCGAGUUGUAAUUUGCAGAGGAAGCUUUAGGCGCGGCACCUUCUGAGUCCCCUGGAACGGGGCGCCAUAGAGGGUGAGAGCCCCGUAUAGUUGGAUGCCUAGCCUGUGUAAAGCUCCUUCGACGAGUCGAGUAGUUUGGGAAUGCUGCUCAAAAUGGGAGGUAAAUUUCUUCUAAAGCUAAAUACCGGCCAGAGACCGAUAGCGCACAAGUAGAGUGAUCGAAAGAUGAAAAGCACUUUGAAAAGAGGGUUAAAUAGCACGUGAAAUUGUUGAAAGGGAAGCGCUUGUGACCAGACUUGCGCCGGGCGGAUCAUCCCGUGUUCUCACCGGUGCACUCCGCCCGGCUCAGGCCAGCAUCGGUUCUCGCGGGGGGAUAAAGGUCCUGGGAACGUAGCUCCUCCGGGAGUGUUAUAGCCCGGGGCGUAAUGCCCUCGCGGGGACCGAGGUUCGCGCAUCUGCAAGGAUG